Non-coding RNA from Podarcis lilfordi (Lilford's wall lizard), 77 nucleotides. NCBI's taxonomy places the organism in Eukaryota, Metazoa, Chordata, Lepidosauria, Squamata, Lacertidae. The record is from the annotation of a GenBank genome assembly.
GCUGUAGCUCAGUGAUAAGAGCAUGUGCUCUGUAUGCAGAAUGUCUCGGGUUCAAUCCCUGGCGUAUCUCUGGAGCA